UUGGCAGACCAGACGAACGCUGUGCCGUACGAUGACAUCAAGCGGUAGGGAGGAAAGUCCGGGCUACAUAGGGCAGAGUGCCAGCUAACGGCUGGGCGGUGUAAGCCGACGACUAGUGCAACAGAGAGCAGACCGCCCCGCCAUGUCUGUGACGUAGCGGGGUAAGGGUGAAAGGGUGGGGUAAGAGCCCACCGCAUGACUGGUAACAGCUCAUGGCAAGGUAAACUCCACUCGUAGCAAGACCAAAUAGGUGUCCGUAUGGCGUUGCCCGCGUUGGACACGGGUAGGUUGCUUGAGCGUAUUGGUAACGAUACGCCUAGAUGAAUGUUCGUCCAUGACAGAACCCGGCUUAUCGGUUUGCCAACCAA
RNAcentral lists this RNase P RNA (368 nucleotides) under Lwoffella lincolnii. RNAcentral describes it as "Moraxella lincolnii Bacterial RNase P class A". It matches the Rfam family "Bacterial RNase P class A". From Rfam's summary of the family: Ribonuclease P (RNase P) is a ubiquitous endoribonuclease, found in archaea, bacteria and eukarya as well as chloroplasts and mitochondria. Its best characterised activity is the generation of mature 5'-ends of tRNAs by cleaving the 5'-leader elements of precursor-tRNAs. The record is from Rfam by way of RNAcentral. Lineage: Bacteria; Pseudomonadati; Pseudomonadota; Gammaproteobacteria; Moraxellales; Moraxellaceae.